This 373-nucleotide unclassified non-coding RNA is filed under the name Hevea brasiliensis (rubber tree). Lineage: Eukaryota; Viridiplantae; Streptophyta; Magnoliopsida; Malpighiales; Euphorbiaceae. The record is from RNAcentral.
AGUUCUUGAAAUAGCCAAUUUGAUGAGAGUCUUUGGGAGAGCUCCUGCAAAAAGGUCCUUCUUUUGAUGAGUCUUAUUACUGUACUGUUUAUAAAAACAUAUUUUUAAGAAAUUAAAAAAAAAAUGGUACAAAGAAAAAAGAGUGGUGGACAAAAUAAUUGCCCCAAAAUAUUAGGGUAUCCUGCAUCUUUUGAACGUUAGGGUACCCUACAUGAAAUGGGGCAGUGAAGAGUUUGAAGUUUCAAGUGUGUUUGUGGUGAGUGCUUGUUGGUUGAAAGUGGUGGAACAACCAUUUUGCCUUGUAUAGUUAAACUGUUUCUUAUAAUGCGAAUUAAUACUUGUUUAAAGAUAAUUAAUUAAGAUGUUCAGUUUU